GGGCCUGUAGCUCAGCUAGGUAGAGCGUCCGGCUUUUAACCGGACGGCCAAGGGUUCGAAUCCCUUCAGGCUCGCCA
RNAcentral lists this transfer RNA (77 nucleotides) under Methanobacteriota archaeon. Its description in RNAcentral is "Euryarchaeota archaeon tRNA-Lys". It matches the Rfam family "tRNA". Rfam says of the family: Transfer RNA (tRNA) molecules are approximately 80 nucleotides in length. Their secondary structure includes four short double-helical elements and three loops (D, anti-codon, and T loops). Lineage: Archaea; Methanobacteriati; Methanobacteriota. The record is from RNAcentral.